UCUCCGUUGGUGGACCAGCGGAGGGAUCAUUACAGGACUCGCAAGACUCCUACAACCCUGUGAACUUAACUAUAAGCACGUUGCUUCGGCGGGUGUCUCGGAGGGGGUUCUCCCUCCCCGAGACGCUAAACCCGCCGGCAGCCUACUAUACUCUGUCUCUUUGCGUUGGCAUCUCGAGUACAAUCAAACAAGUUAAAACUUUCAACGACGGAUCUCUUGGUUCUG
Molecule: unclassified non-coding RNA, 225 nt
Filed under: plant metagenome
Description: partial contains small subunit ribosomal RNA, internal transcribed spacer 1, and 5.8S ribosomal RNA
Source: RNAcentral